UCAAGUUAUUAAGGGUGCAGGGCGGAUGCCUUGGCACUAGGAGCCGAUGAAGGACGUGAUAAGCUGCGAUAAGCUUCGGGGAGUUGCACGUAAACUUUGAUCCGAAGAUUUCCGAAUGAGGAAACUCACUUAGAGUAAUGUCUAAGUAUCAUUAAGUGAAUACAUAGCUUAAUGAGGGGAACUCAGGGAACUGAAACAUCUAAGUACCUGAAGGAAGAGAAAGAAAUUCGAUUCCGUAAGUAGCGGCGAGCGAACGCGGAUUAGCCCAAACCAAUAAAGUUUUCUUUGUUGGGGUUGCGGACAUAUCAUAACGAAGAGGUAUCGUAAUUGAAGAGGUUUGGAAAGACCCACCACAGAAGGUAAUAGUCCUGUAUGUUAAACGAGAAGACUUUAGAUAUGAUCCAGAGUACCACGGGACACGUGAAACCCUGUGGGAAGCAGGAGGGACCACCCUCCAAGGCUAAAUACUACCUAGUGACCGAUAGCGUAUAGUACCGUGAGGGAAAGGUGAAAAGAACCCCGGGAGGGGAGUGAAAUAGAACCUGAAACCCUGCACUUACAAGCUGUGGAAGCACAUUUCUUGUGUGACCGCGUACUUUUUGUAGAACGGGCCAACGAGUUACGUUAAGUAGCAAGGUUAAGCACUUAAGGUGCGGAGCCGUAGCGAAAGCGAGUUUUAACUGAGCGUUCAGUUACUUGACGUAGACCCGAAACCGGGCGACCUACCCAUGAGCAGGAUGAAGCGAAAGUAAAAUUUCGUGGAGGUCCGAACCCACGAGCGUUGAAAAGCUCGGGGAUGACUUGUGGGUAGCGGUGAAAUUCCAAUCGAGCCCGGAGAUAGCUGGUUCUCCCCGAAAUAGCUUUAGGGCUAGCCUCAAGGUGAGAGAUACGGAGGUAGAGCACUGAAUGUCCUAGGGGGUAUUGCACCUACCGAAGACUAUCAAACUCCGAAUGCCGUCAUCUUAUACUUGGGAGUCAGACUGUGGGUGAUAAGAUUCAUAGUCGAAAGGGCAACAGCCCAGAUCGUCAGCUAAGGUCCCUAAAUGUAAGUUAAGUGGUAAAGGAUGUGGGAUUGCACAGACAACCAGGAUGUUGGCUUAGAAGCAGCCACUCAUUCAAAGAGUGCGUAAUAGCUCACUGGUCGAGUGAUCCUGCGCCGAAGAUUUCCGGGGCUAAAACUUACUACCGAAGCUACGGCAUCAGUAAUGAUGGGUAGGGGAGCUUCCCAUACGGGUUGAAGCAUGACCGUAAGGACAUGUGGACAGUAUGGGAGUGAGAAUGUUGGCAUGAGUAGCGAGAUGUGGGUGAGAAUCCCACAGGCCGUAAACCCAAGGUUUCCAGGGGAAGGUUCGUCCACCCUGGGUUAGUCGGGACCUAAGCUGAGGCCGAAAGGCGUAGGUGAUGGACAACAGGUUGAUAUUCCUGUACUACCGAUAACCGUUUGAGAGAAGGGAUGACACAGUAGGAUAAGCUAAGCACACUGUUGGUUAUGUGUGCCCAAGCAUUGAGGCAGUCAAAGUAGGCAAAUCCGCUUUGAUAAUGCUGGGAUGUGAUGGGGAGCGAAAUUUAGUAGCGAAGUAGCUGAUUUCACACUGUCAAGAAAAGUCUCUAUCGAGGUUAAAGGUACCCGUACCGCAAACCGACACAGGUGGGUGAGGAGAGUAUCCUAAGGCCAGCGAGAGAACUGUUGUUAAGGAACUCGGCAAAAUGACCCCGUAACUUAGGGAUAAGGGGUGCCACCAUCAGGUGGCCGCAGAGAAUAGGCCCAAGCGACUGUUUACCAAAAACAUAGGUUUCUGCUAAGUCGCAAGACGAUGUAUAGGAGCUGACGCCUGCCCGGUGCUGGAAGGUUAAGGGGAUCUGUUAGAGCAAUCGAAGCAGUGAACUUAAGCCCCAGUAAACGGCGGCCGUAACUAUAACGGUCCUAAGGUAGCGAAAUUCCUUGUCGGGUAAGUUCCGACCCGCACGAAAGGCGUAACGAUUUGGGCACUGUCUCAACAACAGACUCGGUGAAAUUGUAAUUCCGGUGAAGAUGCCGGAUACCUGCGACAGGACGGAAAGACCCCAUGGAGCUUUACUGUAGCUUGACAUUGGGUCUUGGUACUACAUGUACAGGAUAGGUGGGAGGCUUUGAAACCAGGACGCCAGUUUUGGCGGAGCCAUCCUUGGGAUACCACCCUUGUAGUACUGGGACUCUAACCAUAGGCCAUGAAUCUGGUCUUGGGACACUGUCAGGUGGGCAGUUUGACUGGGGCGGUCGCCUCCCAAAAGGUAACGGAGGCGCUCAAAGGUUCUCUCAGUACGGUCGGAAAUCGUACGUAGAGUGUAAAGGCAAAAGAGAGCUUGAUUGCAAGACAUACAGGUCGAGCAAGGAUGAAAAUCGGACUUAGUGAUCCGGUGGUUCUGCGUGGAAGGGCCAUCGCUCAACGGAUAAAAGCUACCCUGGGGAUAACAGGCUUAUCUCCCCCAAGAGUCCACAUCGACGGGGAGGUUUGGCACCUCGAUGUCGGCUCAUCACAUCCUGGGGCUGUAGUAGGUCCCAAGGGUUGGGCUGUUCGCCCAUUAAAGUGGUACGCGAGCUGGGUUCAGAACGUCGUGAGACAGUUCGGUCCCUAUCCGUCGCAGGCGUAGGAAAUUUGAGAAGACCUGUCCUUAGUACGAGAGGACCGGGAUGGACGUACCUCUGGUGUACCAGUUGUCCUGCCAAGGGCAUGGCUGGGUAGCUAUGUACGGAAUGGAUAAGCGCUGAAAGCAUCUAAGCGCGAAGCCAACUUCAAGAUAAGAUUUCCCACCGCAAGGGUAAGACCCCAGAAAGACUAUCUGGUUGAUAGGUCGAAGGUGUAAGUGCAGCAAUGUAUUUAGCUUAUCGAUACUAAUAGGUCGAGGACUUGACCAA
Molecule: ribosomal RNA, 2896 nt
Filed under: Clostridioides difficile
Lineage: Bacteria; Bacillati; Bacillota; Clostridia; Peptostreptococcales; Peptostreptococcaceae
Description: bacterial LSU rRNA
Rfam family: Bacterial large subunit ribosomal RNA
Source: RNAcentral